RNAcentral lists this ribosomal RNA (585 nucleotides) under Penicillium griseofulvum. Its description in RNAcentral is "eukaryotic LSU rRNA". The stretch from base 206 to 358 matches the Rfam family "5.8S ribosomal RNA". Lineage: Eukaryota; Fungi; Ascomycota; Eurotiomycetes; Eurotiales; Aspergillaceae. The record is from RNAcentral.
UCCGUAGGUGAACCUGCGGAAGGAUCAUUACUGAGUGAGGGCCCUCUGGGUCCAACCUCCCACCCGUGUUUAUUUACCUUGUUGCUUCGGCGGGCCCGCCUUAACUGGCCGCCGGGGGGCUUACGCCCCCGGGCCCGCGCCCGCCGAAGACACCCUCGAACUCUGUCUGAAGAUUGUAGUCUGAGUGAAAAUAUAAAUUAUUUAAAACUUUCAACAACGGAUCUCUUGGUUCCGGCAUCGAUGAAGAACGCAGCGAAAUGCGAUACGUAAUGUGAAUUGCAAAUUCAGUGAAUCAUCGAGUCUUUGAACGCACAUUGCGCCCCCUGGUAUUCCGGGGGGCAUGCCUGUCCGAGCGUCAUUGCUGCCCUCAAGCACGGCUUGUGUGUUGGGCCCCGUCCUCCGAUUCCGGGGGACGGGCCCGAAAGGCAGCGGCGGCACCGCGUCCGGUCCUCGAGCGUAUGGGGCUUUGUCACCCGCUCUGUAGGCCCGGCCGGCGCUUGCCGAUCAACCCAAAUUUUUAUCCAGGUUGACCUCGGAUCAGGUAGGGAUACCCGCUGAACUUAAGCAUAUCAAUAAGCGGAGGAA